GCAGCAUCAGGGAUUUAUCAGGAUUAUUUCCAAUUUAAACUCUUAAAAGUCUCGCUGUAAUUGGGACAACUUUUCGGUUUUCGAUCCUUUUCAACUUUAUACUUGCCAUUUAAACUUUUCCAUUGAAGCGCAAUUAGCCAGUCUCUUGUUGCAGAAACGCGUUCCGAAAUUAUAAGCCUGAUAACUUUGGUGCGAUUCAAGUUAUGAUAUCUAUGAAACCUUACCAGUAAUAUGUAAUUCUGCUUUUGGAGAAGCUAAACUGCAUAUCAUCUCCAAGAUGCUACGAAUUUCCGAAUGGCAGUCCUUAAACAUUGACAAUGAAAUGAUUUCACCAUUUCCACACUGAAUUCGUCCAAAAGAUUUUUGAGAAAAAGCAAUAAUUAUAAACAAGUAAUAACAAGAAUACACGAAACUCAUUAUUAUGAAAGGCAAAUGAG
This 437-nucleotide long non-coding RNA is filed under the name Mytilus galloprovincialis (Mediterranean mussel). Lineage: Eukaryota; Metazoa; Mollusca; Bivalvia; Mytilida; Mytilidae. The record is from RNAcentral.